AUCCUUUCUCAGCCUUUUGGCUAAGAUCAAGUGUAGUAUCCGUUCUUAUCAAUUUAAACCGGGUUAUCCCAACUGAUACAGUACUCAAUAUAUACCAACUGAAAGAAUACAUAUUUACCACAU
This is a small nuclear RNA of Oryctolagus cuniculus (rabbit), 123 nucleotides long. Its record names the gene U2. It matches the Rfam family "U2 spliceosomal RNA". Rfam says of the family: U2 is a small nuclear RNA (snRNA) component of the spliceosome (involved in pre-mRNA splicing). Complementary binding between U2 snRNA (in an area lying towards the 5' end but 3' to hairpin I) and the branchpoint sequence (BPS) of the intron results the bulging out of an unpaired adenosine, on the BPS, which initiates a nucleophilic attack at the intronic 5' splice site, thus starting the first of two transesterification reactions that mediate splicing. Lineage: Eukaryota; Metazoa; Chordata; Mammalia; Lagomorpha; Leporidae. The record is from Ensembl.